CCUACGGGAGGCUGCAGUCGAGAAUCAUUCACAAUGGGGGAAACCCUGAUGGUGCGACGCCGCGUGAGGGAAUGAAGAUCUUCGGAUUGUAAACCCCUGUCAUGGGGGAGCAAAUUAAAAAAAUAGUACCACAAGAGGAAGAGACGGCUAACGCUGUGCCAGCAGCCGCGGUACUACAGAGGUCUCAAGCGUUGUUCGGAAUCACUGGGCGUAAAGCGUGCGUAGGCUGUUUCGUAAGUCGUGUGUGAAAGGCGCGGGCUCAACCCGCGGAUGGCACAUGAUACUGGGAGACUAGAGUAAUGGAGGGGGAAGCGGAAUUCGCGGUGUAGCAGUGAAAUGCGUAGAUAUCGAGAGGAACACUCGUGGCGAAGGCGGGUUCCUGGACAUUAACUGACGCUGAGGCACGAAGGCCAGGGGAGCGAAAGGGAUUAGAUACCCUUGUAGUC
This 446-nucleotide ribosomal RNA is filed under the name uncultured bacterium. RNAcentral describes it as "partial 16S ribosomal RNA". It matches the Rfam family "Bacterial small subunit ribosomal RNA", at positions 338 to 795 of the family's 1533-position model. The record is from RNAcentral.